Molecule: long non-coding RNA, 220 nt
Filed under: Capsicum annuum
Lineage: Eukaryota; Viridiplantae; Streptophyta; Magnoliopsida; Solanales; Solanaceae
Description: long non-coding RNA (CANN_LNC001557)
Source: RNAcentral
AAGAUUCUCACUCGGGAUGACCUUACAGUCCUUACACAACGCCCUAUCCCCUUUCCUAAGCAACAAAAAGUCAAUCUGGGUCCUGGCUAUCGCGCUUCGAAAGGUGAUCAGGUGAUCGUCCUUCUUCGGGAAGCCCGAGUUCACCACCACCAGCCCAAAGGACCUCGCAAACUCCAAUAGAGUAGCCCCCUCUUCAUUUCUCUCCCCAAAACCAAAAACA